This 253-nucleotide ribosomal RNA is filed under the name uncultured bacterium. Its description in RNAcentral is "partial 16S ribosomal RNA". It matches the Rfam family "Bacterial small subunit ribosomal RNA", at positions 524 to 776 of the family's 1533-position model. The record is from RNAcentral.
UACGUAGGGGGCAAGCGUUGUCCGGAAUCAUUGGGCGUAAAGCGCGUGUAGGCGGCCAGAAAAGUCCGCUGUGAAAACUCGAGGCUCAACUUCGAGCUGUCGGUGGAAACUUUCUGGCUAGAGUCCGGAAGAGGAGAAUGGAAUUCCUGGUGUAGCGGUGAAAUGCGCAGAUAUCAGGAGGAACACCGGUGGCGAAGGCGGGUCUCUGGGAAGUAACUGACGCUGAGAAGCGAAAGCGUGGGUAGCGAACAGG